AGCAGCUGGUCUUGACCUACGCCUCCUUUGACUUUCUCUCUCUGGAGGAGGCUGAGCCGGCCAGUAUCUCCCAUUUCUACAUAGGCAAGUGUCAGAUAGACAGUGUGAGGCUGUCCAUAUACCGGUACUGUUGUCCAGCUCCGUACCUGGCUGGGGUCGACACUGGCCUGUACAAACGCAUGCGCUGGAAUGUGGAGAGACCCAGAGAGAGCCUACAGCAGGAAACUGAUGGCGAGAUGGAGGGAGAGACAGAGGAGGACAAGCCAGUGGCAGGGAAAGAGAGAGCUACCAAGACAGAGUAGUGAGUGAGAGCGAGAGAGAGGGGGAGGUAGAGAAAGGGUUAAAGUAAAGCAUAACAUGUCAAUAAACAAUAAUUGUAGUACAAUAUUAGUGCCAAGAAUACUUUGGGACUCUUUUGAACUGAGAUGUUGGAUGACAAUGUACAUUUUGGAAUUCAGGCCUAAGAACAGUUGAUCAGAUGGCAUCUCACUGCCUGUGUCUGUGUCUGUAUUUGUGUGUGACUGUGUGUGUUUCUCGAGCAGCUACUUCCUGUGCUACGAGGACAUCCCAGAGGAGCCCACUGAUGGGGGCGAUGGAGAGGGUAAAGGGGAGACGGUUGCUAUAGGCAACGUGGUCAGGAUGUGGUCAAUCGGUCAGUGGGUCCAAACGCAGCCGGAACCCGUGACAGACGACAUCUACGAAUGGGUGCUGUGCUGGGUUCCACAGGCUCAGUACCACAGGCUUUUGUGUCUGGGAGGAGAGGAGCCCACUGCCUGCAGUGCUACUGACUGUCUACUGGGGGCGUUGUUCUCUCAACAGAGCCCAGUGGAAAGCCCCAGUCCUGAAACAACAUAAAGAGACAAGCCACUUUUCUAGAACUAUCUUUGACCAUAACAUGUUCCCAUUGAUUAAAGGAU
Molecule: long non-coding RNA, 917 nt
Organism: Coregonus clupeaformis (lake whitefish)
Lineage: Eukaryota; Metazoa; Chordata; Actinopteri; Salmoniformes; Salmonidae
Exons: 3
Source: RefSeq, a predicted model, not a curated record